AGGCUUGUAGCUCAGGUGGGGUUAGGCGCACCCCUGAUAUAGGGUGAGGUCGGUGGUUCAAGUCCACCUCAGGCUA
RNAcentral lists this transfer RNA (76 nucleotides) under Enterobacter roggenkampii. RNAcentral describes it as "tRNA-Ile". The record is from RNAcentral. Lineage: Bacteria; Pseudomonadati; Pseudomonadota; Gammaproteobacteria; Enterobacterales; Enterobacteriaceae.